CGAAGAGUCGAGUUGUUUGGGAAUGCAGCUCUAAGUGGGUGGUAAAUUCCAUCUAAAGCUAAAUAUUGGCGAGAGACCGAUAGCGAACAAGUACAGUGAUGGAAAGAUGAAAAGCACUUUGAAAAGAGAGUGAAACAGUACGUGAAAUUGUUGAAAGGGAAGGGCUUGCAAGCAGACACGGUCUUCGGGCCGGGCCAGCAUCGGUUGCCAGGGGUGGAUAUCCCGCGAGAAAUGUGGCUUUGUCCUCUGGGCAAAGUGUUAUAGUCUCGCGCUGUACACCCACCGGCGACCGAGGCCUGCGAUCUUCGGAUCUAGGAUGCUGGCGUAAUGGUUGCAAGCCGCCCGUCUUGAAACACGGACCAAGGAGUCUAACGUCUAUGCGAGUGUUUGGGUGGAUAAAACCCCAGCGCGGAAUGAAAGUAAGAGAUUGGAGCCUUUUCGGAGGCGCACAAUCGACCGACCCUGAAGUGCUCGGACGGGUUUGAGUAGGAGCAUAGCUGUUGGGACCCGAAAGAUGGUGAACUAUGCCUGGAUAGGGUGAAGCCAGAGGAAACUCUGGUGGAGGCUCGUAGCGGUUCUGACGUGCAAAUCGAUCGUCGAAUCUGGGUAUAGGGGCGAAAGACUAAUCGAAC
This 632-nucleotide ribosomal RNA is filed under the name Clavispora opuntiae. RNAcentral's name for it is "eukaryotic LSU rRNA". It matches the Rfam family "Eukaryotic large subunit ribosomal RNA", at positions 258 to 940 of the family's 3401-position model. The record is from RNAcentral. Lineage: Eukaryota; Fungi; Ascomycota; Pichiomycetes; Serinales; Metschnikowiaceae.